AGUGAACGCUGGCGGUAGGCCUAACACAUGCAAGUCGAACGGCAGCACAGUAAGAGCUUGCUCUUACGGGUGGCGAGUGGCGGAUGGGUGAGGAAUACAUCGGAAUCUACUUUUUCGUGGGGGAUAACGUAGGGAAACUUACGCUAAUACCGCAUACGACCUACGGGUGAAAGCAGUGGAUCUUCGCACCUUGCGCGAUUGAAUGAGCCGAUGUCGGAUUAGCUAGUUGGCGGGGUAAAGGCCCACCAAGGCGACGAUCCGUAGCUGAUCUGAGAGGAUGAUCAGCCACACUGGAACUGAGACAUGGUCCAGACUCCUACGGGAGGCAGCAGUGGGGAAUAUUGGACAAUGGGCGCAAGCCUGAUCCGGCCAUACCGCGUGGGUGAAGAAGGCCUUCGGGUUGUAAAGCCCUUUUGUUGGGAAAGAAAAGCAGCAGGUUAAUACCCCGCUGUUCUGACGGUACCCAAAGAAUAAGCACCGGCUAACUUCGUG
RNAcentral lists this ribosomal RNA (492 nucleotides) under uncultured bacterium. RNAcentral's name for it is "partial 16S ribosomal RNA". It matches the Rfam family "Bacterial small subunit ribosomal RNA", at positions 29 to 507 of the family's 1533-position model. The record is from RNAcentral.